CCUAUGGGAGGCAGCAGUGGGGGAUAUUGCACAAUGGGGGGAACCCUGAUGCAGCGACGCCGCGUGGGUGAAGAAGCGCCUCGGCGCGUAAAGCCCUGUCAGCAGGGGAGAAAAUGACGGUACCUGAAGAAGAAGCCGCGGCUAAAUACGUGCCAGAAGCCGUGGGUAUACGGAGGGGGCAAGCGUAAUCCGGAGUUACUGGGUGUAAAGGGGGCGCAGACGGCGGGGCAAGCCAGGAGUGAAAGGCCGGGGCCCAACCCCGGGACUGCUCUUGGAACUGCGUGGCUGGAGUGCAGGAGGGGCAGGCGGAAUGCCUGGUGUAGCGGUGAAAUGCGUAGAUAUCAGGAUGAACACCGGUGGCGAAGGCAGCCUGCUGGACUACAACUGACGUUGAGGCCCGAAAGCGUGGGGAGCAAACAGGAUUAGAUACCCCGGUAGUC
This 440-nucleotide ribosomal RNA is filed under the name uncultured bacterium. RNAcentral describes it as "partial 16S ribosomal RNA". It matches the Rfam family "Bacterial small subunit ribosomal RNA", at positions 338 to 795 of the family's 1533-position model. The record is from RNAcentral.